This is a long non-coding RNA of Scylla paramamosain (green mud crab), 876 nucleotides long. RefSeq lists it as uncharacterized. The record is from RefSeq and is a predicted model, not a curated record. The transcript is spliced from 5 exons. NCBI's taxonomy places the organism in Eukaryota, Metazoa, Arthropoda, Malacostraca, Decapoda, Portunidae.
AAAUUAGUGAAUUGAGUGAAAAAAAAAACGCGAUUAAAUUAUUUAUUUUUUUGUUUAUUUUCAUUUAAAGUGAAUUUUCUCUCUCUCUCUCUCUCUGGUACUACUACUACUACUACUACUACUACUACUACUACUACUACUACUAUUACUACUACUACUACUGCUACUACUACUACUACUACUACUACUCUUCCUCCUCCUCCUCCUCCUCCUCCUCCUCCUCCUCCUCCUCCUCCUACUACUACUACUACUACUACUACUACUACUACUACUUCUACUAUUUCAAUGGGUCUGGACGGAGUAGUGAGGUGGGUGUGCGUGUGCGCGGGCGUGGUGCUCUCUCUUAUCCCGCCCACGGCCGCCAUUCACAGGUCGCGUCAACACCACUCCCAGGUUAAUGAAGGUAUAAUUCCACCUCAUUACGACAAAUAUUUCGUGCCAGCUGUUGAUGGGUCACCAGUUAUUGUUUACUUCGACAUGACUCUGCUAGACAUCAGUUCAAUUAAUGAAAAUGAUAUGACCUUCAGCGUGGAAUGCUUUGUGUCAUAUCGCUGGAAGGACUGGAGGCUUCGCUGGAACCUCACCCAGCAGAAACUGAACCCCUGCUGGCACUCUGAUGUCCCUUCUCCCCCGACAAGGCCCCUGCAGUUUGACCAGAUUUGUCGCCCGAAUUUUACCACGAAAAUACCUCGAUGUGAGAAUCCGAAGACUCAGAAAGGAGAAAGGAACAUCUUGCCUUUAAAUUUCCUUGAAAAUAUUUGGCAACCUGACGCAUUUUUCAAGAACGGCAUUAAAUCCUCGAUUCACAAGGACUGGGUUGCUAAUGAAUAUCUUGCUUUCUACACCAGUGACGGCCAUAUACGCCUAUUCAGCAGG